Molecule: non-coding RNA, 94 nt
Filed under: Robertmurraya massiliosenegalensis
Lineage: Bacteria; Bacillati; Bacillota; Bacilli; Caryophanales; Bacillaceae
Description: Purine riboswitch
Rfam family: Purine riboswitch aptamer
About the family: Riboswitches are metabolite binding domains within certain messenger RNAs that serve as precision sensors for their corresponding targets. Allosteric rearrangement of mRNA structure is mediated by ligand binding, and this results in modulation of gene expression.
Source: RNAcentral
UAAAAAAUAAAAUUUACCUCAUAUAUAAUGGGAAUACGGCCCAUAAGUUUCUACCCGACAACCCUAAAUUGUUGGACUAUGAGGAAAGUGAAUA